Long non-coding RNA from Culex pipiens pallens (northern house mosquito), 1498 nucleotides. RefSeq lists it as uncharacterized. Lineage: Eukaryota; Metazoa; Arthropoda; Insecta; Diptera; Culicidae. The record is from RefSeq and is a predicted model, not a curated record. The transcript is spliced from 4 exons.
UUAUUUUGUGUAAUAUUACAUGCUUAUUUGAUCCCCAAUCCUUAAAAUAAAAACUAACACCCAUUACUACUUAAACGUGUAAUAUUUGCUGUACAUUCGAUACAAUAUUCAACGCAACCUUGUACACAACUUUUACUGUCAAUUUUCGUGUAAAAUUAUCGACGAAUUCAUUUAGCCGACUUUGACAGAUCUCAUAAAAUCCCAGUGCCAUCAGUUCCCUUCUGUCAGGUGCAUCGCGAUCGUAUUUCGAGUUGCCCGAAAUGGUGCGUGAGAGCGGUGAGAGCUAAACACCCGCAGGAGUGUGCCUGAUACCCGUUUCUAAUCUGUCGGACAAAACACGACUGGUCUUCGGAGCGUCGACCUGAACUGGCGAACUCGGUACGUGACAUCUAAACACCCGCAGACGGUCGUUGCCGGUGGAAAUGCCCAGAUUGUCAACUCGCGGAAGCCAUUCAUCGACUCUUCCAGAGGAGUGAAUUCUCCCAACCUCCAGGCCGUGCAUCAUACCCGGUUCAAAUCUUCCGGACACAACACGAACGGGCUAAGGAGCGUCCUCCUGAAACCGGCGAACUCGGUACGUGACAGCUAAACACCUGCAGACGGACGCCAAAGAGAUUCGACCGCGAGACGGAGUAAGUUCCCCUAACCUCCAGGCUGUGCAUCAUACCCGAUUCCAAUCUGCCGGACAAAACACGACCGGGCUUCGGAGCGUCCUCCUGAGACCGGCGGACUCGGUGCGUGACAGCGAAACACCCGCAGAAGUAAAUUCCCCCAACCUCCAGGUUGUGCAUCAUACCCGGUUCAAAUCUGCUAGACAAAACUUGACCAGGAAGAUGAGCUCCCGGUGGGCUUCCGGCUAAGCUGCAACGUCGUCGGGAUGUGGACUUCCCCCGGAAGCUGCACGCUCAUCUCCCCGAAGCAGUCCAUCGGCGCCGCAUGGUGUCGAACGAAGAUGAGUUCCCGGUGGGCUUCCGGCCAAGCUGCAACGUCGUCGGGAUGUGGAAUUCCCCCGGAAGCCGCACGCUCAUCUCCCCGAAGCAGUUCAUCGGCGCCGCAUGGUGUCGAAUGAAGGUUAGCUCCCGGUGGGCUUCCGGGCAAGCUGCAACGUCGUCGGGACGUGGACUUCCCCGGAAGCUGCACGCUCGGCGUUGAAACGUAACAAAUCAUAAUUGCACCACUAUCGAAACAAGUUGGCCACGUGGACUUCAAGGCGCGAAAUAGUUGGAAGCUGGACAUCUUCCCAAAGCAGUUCAUCGGCGCCGCAUGGUGUCGAAUGAAGGUUAGCUCCCGGUGGGCUUCCGGCCAAGCUGCAACGUCGUCGGGAUGUGGACUUCGCGCCUCCCCGUCGGAGACUGCUCGAUCAACAUCGGUAUCCAGGAGGAGUGAAAAAGUGAAACUUUUUAACGACCUCUUAAGAAGAAAAAUGUUCAUUCAGUCGGAUUAAUGUCGGUGGGAAUAGAUUUCUUCAAAAUGCAUUCUAUUGUUGUGUUAAUAAAAC